This 253-nucleotide ribosomal RNA is filed under the name uncultured bacterium. RNAcentral's name for it is "partial 16S ribosomal RNA". It matches the Rfam family "Bacterial small subunit ribosomal RNA", at positions 524 to 776 of the family's 1533-position model. The record is from RNAcentral.
UACGAAGGGGGCUAGCGUUGCUCGGAAUCACUGGGCGUAAAGGGUGCGUAGGCGGGUCUUUAAGUCAGGGGUGAAAUCCUGGAGCUCAACUCCAGAACUGCCUUUGAUACUGAAGAUCUUGAGUUCGGGAGAGGUGAGUGGAACUGCGAGUGUAGAGGUGAAAUUCGUAGAUAUCGGGAGGAACACCAGUGGCGAAGGCGGCUCUCUGGGCAGAUACUGACGCUGAGACGCGAAAGCAUGGGGAGCAAACAGG